UACGAACUGCGCAAACGUUAUUCGGAAUCACUGGGCUUACAGGGUGCGUAGGCGGCCCGGCAGGUCAGAUGUGAAAUCCCACAGCUCAACUGUGGAACUGCAUUUGAAACCGUCGGGCUUGAGUAAGCUAGAGGCGUACGGAACUUCCGGUGGAGCGGUGAAAUGUGUUGAGAUCGGAAGGAACACCAGAGGCGAAAGCGGUACGCUGGGGCUUGUCUGACGCUGAGGCACGAAAGCCAGGGGAGCGAACGGG
Molecule: unclassified non-coding RNA, 253 nt
Filed under: uncultured Planctomycetales bacterium
Lineage: Bacteria; Pseudomonadati; Planctomycetota; Planctomycetia; Planctomycetales
Description: contains 16S-23S intergenic spacer region
Rfam family: Bacterial small subunit ribosomal RNA
Source: RNAcentral